GUAUUUAAAGAUAUCAUAUUAUACGUGACUUGCAACAAACUAAACUGUUAAAAUCGUACAAUUUAGUUUCGUUACACUGAUUAAUAUACGGAUUAUUUGUUCUUAAGGAUAUCAAGAAUAGAAUUGAACAGAACAGACAUUAAGAGUAUUGACAAUUUAAGAUUUUCAGUUCUCAAAUGGAGUAAAAGUUCAAAAGGGAGCCACACAGACAAGAACACCGGAUCUAGCCAUGGAUCGUCCGAAAUCCACUCAUAGUACCCUUAGUCACGUGACGGAAAAGACCGAGAAAAGUGUAUCUACUCCUAUGGCAGCACGUGCAACUCCAAUGACACCGGCACAUAAAUCAUGGACGGCAUACGGAGGUCCCGUACUGUUCACCGGUCCGAGUGGAUUACGAGACCAGCGUGUUAAAACAGAGAACGAGUUUGUCGUGGUUGGAGAGUCGGACAAUUCAUCAGAAAUUACUAGUCAGAUGGGGUACCUGAACCGUGCGGCUCCUGGUGCCCAAUUUCCGAAGGCUAAAAACGGACAAGUCGGUGAAAUUGGAUGGGUGUAUGAUAAACUUAAAGUUGUAAAAGGAAUAUAAUAUGUCAACAUAUAAAUGUAAUAUAAAAGUCAUUUUAUAUACGUUUCGUACGUUAGUCAUUUGUUUUUAUUUCAGCUUAGUUAUUAGAAAUUUGUGUUCUUUUGCUUAAUUAUUCAAACUUUAUAGGAAUAUAUUAUCUAGAUAUUUACUGCUGUUUUUGCCGUGCUAAAUAUUGUUUUACUAAAUGAAAGGAAUUAUCUCACUAUUUGUCUUUGAAACGGCGUCGCAAUUUGCAUAAGGUAUUGAUUGAAAACAUAAUCUGUAUGUCUGUAUGUCUAGGUCUGUCCACGAGUGUUAACUUUUUGGAAUACCAGUGUAAAGAGAAAUUUGUUAGGACCACUGUACUAUAAAGAAAGAGUUUCACACAUAACUAUCCAAAAAACGGUUACUUUUAGUCAUAUAUAUGGUUUUAUGUGCAUGAGAACUUUAUUUUGGGCAAGGAGACGAUUCAUUUUAUCUGUAAGAAUCUACCAGAUUAUAACCAGUCAUGUGCAAAAAUAGCAAAUGUCACGGUACGAGACAAUAUAAAAGAAUGAGUUUUACACAUAACCAAAAACGGUUACUUCUUCGUCAUAUGUAUGGACAAAGGUUUUAUGUGCAUGAGAUCUUGAUUUUGGGCACGGAGACGAAUUUCAUUUUGUCUUUAUCAAAUUCAGUCCGCCAGAGAAUAACCAACCGUGUGCAAUAUAACCUAAUGCCGUGUUAGUAGAUAAUAGAAGUUUGCAGUGAACGUAGAAAUAGCCAGCUUGCCGUGGAUAUAGAUGUAGACAGUAGAAUAGUCAAAAUUAGAAUAGUAAACGAGUGCCGUGGAAGUAGAUAGUAGAGUUUGCAGUGAACGUAGUACAUGUAGUAGAUAUAUAGAUAUAGAAGUAGAUUAGAAAAGUUUGCAGUGUGUAGAAGUAGUUCUCGGUGGUGGUGUUUGAGCGAUUACUCAAGCUUUUACUAACACUUAAACAAACUUCAAACGUUAUGCUUUUAGAAAGAGUUUUGGUAUAGUUCUGCAUCUUUUGACCGAAAUACCGUCAACCGUUGACGUUACACAUGUAUGGCAUAUAAUCCGGACUUUAUCGUAUGUUAUCCGGACAAAUGACGUUACGCCAUCACUUUCGAUUUUUCAAACGUGCAGAAUUACAUCAAAAGGAAUAUUUCAAAAAUAUUUUAAAGACUCGGAUAUUGUUGAAGGACAAGUAUCAAAUGAUGUUUUUUUUAUAUAUUGCUUCACGAUGCAGUUGUAAUAUUUUUACCUUGAUCGUGCCCAAACUCAAGUAUUUCUUUUAUGCACAUGAGACCGUUUAAUCGAAGGACGCAUGACAUGUGUUGCUUCAAUGAAAAUAAGUGCCCAUUGUAACCAUCAGUAUGUCUCUUAAGCAUAUUUGUACAUGUACACAUAAUUAAAGGAAUGAAAUGUUACAGGCAUAAAUAAUAAGGGAUAUGAAUUACUUUUUUCCGGUAUAGUUUGUAUUUGUCGCUUACAAACAGGCUCAUUUAUCAUACAUUUCGGAAUUAUUGAUAAUAUUGUUCGCAAAAAUCUAUUUGCUAUGUUAAACUUAGUAACCACAGGUAGUUUUGAGCCAGACAUGUUUUUGUGGACUUGAUGGUACGUAGGUCUGUCAGAAUUGUGUGCCAGAAUACGAAUGUAGGAAUCAUGUAUGGCUACAUUUAUAUAACAACAUCUCUGAUGGCAGGAGUUUUCUUUAAAUCCUUUACAUCUUGCAUGGUGAUAGUUAUGACCUCCGAUGUAUAAACUGAGUUGCUUUUUGUAAUGCUUUUUCUCUAAGAAGCUUCUAGCGCCGCAUUGAAAUGAUUUUGUUCUGCUUUUUAUAUAAUAAUGUUGGUUUUACGAUGUUACGAAAUUAGAAUAAAAAUGAAAUUAAAGGAA
Molecule: RNA transcript, 2465 nt
Organism: Mercenaria mercenaria
Lineage: Eukaryota; Metazoa; Mollusca; Bivalvia; Venerida; Veneridae
Exons: 3
Source: RefSeq, a predicted model, not a curated record